GAUGAAGAACGCAGCGAAAUGCGAUAAGUAAUGUGAAUUGCAGAAUUAAGUGAAUCAUCGAAUCUUUGAACGCACAUUGCGCCCGUCAGUAUUCUGGCGGGCAUGCCUGUUCGAGCGUCAUUACGACCCUCAAGUCCCCUGUGGACUUGGUGUUGGGGAUCGGCGAGGCUGGUUUUCCAGCACAGCCGUCCCUUAAAUUAAUUGGCGGUCUCGCCGUGGCCCUCCUCUGCGCAGUAGUAAAACACUCGCAACAGGAGCCCGGCGCGGUCCACUGCCGUAAAACCCCCCAACUUUUUAUAGUUGACCUCGAAUCAGGUAGGACUACCCGCUGAACUUAAGCAUAUCAAUAAGCGGAGGA
This 358-nucleotide unclassified non-coding RNA is filed under the name soil metagenome. RNAcentral's name for it is "partial contains 5.8S ribosomal RNA, internal transcribed spacer 2, and large subunit ribosomal RNA". The stretch from base 1 to 120 matches the Rfam family "5.8S ribosomal RNA", at positions 35 to 154 of the family's 154-position model. The record is from RNAcentral.